This 1675-nucleotide long non-coding RNA is filed under the name Capsicum annuum. RNAcentral's name for it is "long non-coding RNA (CANN_LNC011260)". Lineage: Eukaryota; Viridiplantae; Streptophyta; Magnoliopsida; Solanales; Solanaceae. The record is from RNAcentral.
GACAAUUUAGGGAAUUACUUAGUUUACGUAAGUAAAAUUAGAGUUAGUACAUAUAAACAACAAUAACAUACAAGGAAAAGAGGAACAAAAGUUUUAAGAUUUGGGCCUUUAUUGGCCCAUUAGAAAGCUGUCCAGCUUUUGGACCUCAUUCGUAUGGACUUGGGUCCAUUUUCUAAAGUGUAUACCAGCUGUAUAUCAAUAGCUUAAGUCUCAACGUUUUUGUGUAUAUCACUUCAUAUACAGUGUAUAUCAGUGACAAAUACUGCUUAUUUCCCCUCCACUUUUCAUCAUAAAUCGUGUGAUGAUGUGCAGCUGCUGCUUACGAUGUAUAUUCACUGUAUAUCAGCAUAUACCAGCCCCUAAUGCUUAUAUCGUUGUAUACCAAUGCAAAAACAGUCCUCUCGGGACUUGGACUUGAGAUUUUGACUCGAUGUUGGGUUAGACCCAACGAGGAUGCUAGGAAAAAGUCCAAAAGGGCUCGAACGAGUUCAUGCAAAAAAAAAAAAAAAAAUCACAACAUUAUGAAACGAAUAUUCAAACUAGCACAUAUGCUUAACAUCUAAUGAGCAAUAUAGUGAAAAACUAAAUAACUUCAGCCAUAUUGUGAGAUAAAUGUAUCCACGUCUCUCCAUAACAUAAAACUGAAAAGUUGCCUUCUGGAUGAGUCACAACUCCCAAAUAUAAAAGCCUUCAAGAACCUUUUCUACAAUUGCAAAUAUACUAAGAGGAAAUUUUCUUAAAGAAUCAAAUAUUUCUCUUUCAAGUAUAUGUCUACUGCUCAAUCUUAGUUUUCAAUUCAUUCUAAAAAAAAUUUCCAACAUUCUUGAAAAAAAAUGAACUGAACAGCAAAGAGAAAUUCACCAAACUAAACAUAUUCUUUCACUGUUAAUGCUACGGUAAGGAAAACAAAGAUUGGUGUGUGAAACAUUCCUUUCUUAAAGUUCGGAAAUCAUAGACUUCGAAAAAUAAAUAAGUAAUUAAAUAAAAUUAGGCUAACCUAAUCUAUAGCUAAAGCCAGAACAAUUUAUGAUGAAUAACCUUACUUUUCUUUUUUUUUUCUUUUGCAAACUUUAAGACGAAAAUAUUCAAUUUAACAGAGUAAUGAUGAUAAUAAAAUUGAGAAAAUCUUAACACAAAUUUAAAUUCUUUGAGAAUCAACAAUUGAACAUACUUCACACCAAGAAAAGAACUACUACAUCUCAAAGGCAGAAAAAGAACUAUAUCAUCCCAAAAUUCAUCCUAAUAAAGUGUCUGGAUGCUCCUCUCAUACGGACAAUUAAUUCAUCGACAAAACGGCGAUAAAUACAGCCAAUUCCAUAACAUAAUUUUUCAGUCAUACGAAUGAGAUUAGGGAAAAAGCUUUCACCUUUUUUGGAGCAACGAACCGGACAACAAGCUGUAGCGAACGAAUUCCACCAUCGAAAUUUCAAUUUGAAUUUGUUGGAAUAUAACAUUCGUCGGCACUGAUUUUCGAACUCUCCGAAAAUUUUACAUGUGGCUCCGAAGCUCCAAGUUUUUCCCAAAAUAAAUUGAGAUUUGAAUUUUUUUAAAAAAUAAGAUAAGAUAACUGUUGAUACAGCUGUUGUGCAACUGUUAUUGCUGUCAUUGUUGACAACGUGGUGUUACGUCAGGUUAAGUGAGGAAGAGACGGGUUCGGGUCGGGUUUGAAAUUGUC